This 1461-nucleotide long non-coding RNA is filed under the name Carassius auratus (goldfish). RNAcentral describes it as "lncRNA (ENSCARG00000022247.1)". The record is from RNAcentral. Lineage: Eukaryota; Metazoa; Chordata; Actinopteri; Cypriniformes; Cyprinidae.
AUGAACCGACCAAAAGGGAACUCAGCAGGUAGGAGGACCGCCGAGCUUCGACACUUGUUGGAGUUCCGCCGGCAAUGCUGGACGCCAUCCCCCACCGACAGGAAGGGGGUCACCCUCCCAUACUCGCCCGAGGGGGUGUGGAUCCUUCAAAACUAUGCCCGGCUAUGGGAGGGUAUAUCCCAGGGAGAGCCGCAGGUUUUCCCCUCGAGGUCCCCACCGUCAGCCCAGCUGCCAGAAAUCCCAGAGGGUCGUGUCCUGGCCGUGGCAACCCUGGGGGAUCAGGCAAGUCCCCCCCAGAGUCCUGAGGCGCCUUCCACAGCCAGCAGUCUCCCCAUGAAGCGAGGGAGACGAUUGUCGUGGGAGUCAGCCUCGGAGGCGUCGGCGUCGGCAUCAGAGUCUGCCCUGCCUAAGACCGAACUCCCCCAACCCGUCUCUGAUCCAGCUGUGGCCUCUGCACCGCGGCCAAGGAGGAAGAGGAAGAAGAAGGGGUCUUCCGGUCCUGCGACUUUGUCUCCUCCUGCAGCGGUGAGCGUGCCCGUGCCAGCAGCGGUGAGCGUGCCCGUGCCAGCAGCGGUGAGCGUGCCCGAGCCAGCAGCGGUGAGCGUGCCCGAACCAGCAGCGGUGAGCGCUGGCGUGCCCGAGCCGGCAAAGAAGAGAGCUGUAUGCAAGUCUGCAGUCGUGAGAGCGGAGGAGAGAGCCGCGGCCGACUCUGCAGCAAAGACUCUAGUACAGUCUGUCUCAUCUCGUAAGGAGAUGCCAGUUAUCCUAGCUGCUAAAGCCUUCUCAGAUUAUUUUUCUCGUCUUGUCCAGAUCCUAGAAGUCCCCGUCAGUCCUGUCUUGUCCCCUGACCCAGUCCCCAGAAAUCCCGAGUGUCCCGUAGAUGUCGUCUCCCCGUGUCCCGUAGAUGUCGUCUCCCCGUGUCCCGUAGAUGUCGUCUCCCCGUGUCCCGUGAGUGUUGCCCCGUGUCCUGUUGAUGUAGCCCCGUGUCCCGUAGAUGUCCCGUGUCCUGUUGUCUCCCCGUGUCCAGUAGAUGUUGUUCCCCCGUGUCCAGCUGUCGUCUCCCCGCAUCCCGUAAGUGAUGCCCCGCGUCCCGUGUCUGCUCCUGUCAUGUCCUCUGUCAGUUGUCCCGAGACCCCUCCCCACCCCUCACCACCCAGACCUGCCCGUACCCCCCGUCGUCAGCCUUCGUCCUGUCCUCCUAAGAUCCCUACCCCUCCCACCCACCCUGGUCUGUCCCCCAUGAACUUUGUGCUCCCGCCUCCUCCCCUUCCCUGUUUGUUUUUUUUUUUAUUUGCCACCCUAACCCUGCCAUUGUGUAUUCAUGUUUGCCGUUGUUAUUAUUUGUCAUGUCUUGUUGGUUUGUGUCUGUGUCCCAGUCUGUCAUGUCAGUCAUGUCCCGUGUUUGAUGUUCCCUUGAGGAGCGUCUGGAAGCCGCUCCUUAAGGGAGGGGUUCUGUCAUGA